Molecule: unclassified non-coding RNA, 1320 nt
Filed under: Haliotis rubra (blacklip abalone)
Lineage: Eukaryota; Metazoa; Mollusca; Gastropoda; Lepetellida; Haliotidae
Description: uncharacterized LOC124272647, transcript variant X2
Source: RNAcentral
UAUUGCUGAGUGUGGCAUAAACUAAACUCACAAUAUGCAUUCAUGACAUGUUCGGAAUAAGAAUCUUAUCAGCGCCAUAGGAGUAUGUUCAUUUCAAGGAGAGAAGGACGACCAUCCAGCAGACGGAAUAGAGAAACUUAUCAGCGGAUUAACACAAUGCAACGACCUUUCCAACACAGUGAGCAAAAAAUUAAUGGAAAUUGCAGCAGAUGUAGAUGACCUUGAACAAAACAAGCGCCUCACGAAAGUAAUUUGUGCUGGCACGGGACUCAUUGGAGCUGCUCUGUCAAUAUCCGGUCUCUUGCUUGGCCCUGUUGGAAUGCCCCUUGCACUGGUGGGUGCUGCUGUCGGUGUUGGAGGGUGUAGGUGAAGUAGCAGUGUCACUUGUCGUCGGAGCAAAGACAAAACAGAAAAUCCAAGAAGCCCAAACAUUUUUAUUGGAAUUCGAGGAUGUUUGCAAAACCUUCGAGAUGACAUGCACGUCCAACAUAUGGUUGUCCUGGCAUCAGUGUGGACUGUAGCACAUCGCACAAUGCUGCUGCGUGCGUUUUCGAUGUUAUGGACGACAUCGUUGUAAAACGGACUUAAGGCAUCGAAGUUUGUAGGAGUGGUCCUGUCUGCCCUUCUGGUACCUUUAGAAGCGUACAAGUUGAUUUCAAAUGUUGCGGAGUUAAUUGAAAGAAAACCUCUGCUGUUGCUGCGAAACUCCGUUCGAAGGCUAAUGAAAUGAAAGAUCUUUCGAAAGAUCUUGAUAAGAAAAUACCAGAUCUUGUGACCAUCCUACAUGACUCUUGAGAGUAACUUUGAAUCCUCCAGGUACCACUGCACACAACAUGCAAGACCGGAGUCCGACGAUAAGGUCCGCGUGUUGAAAGCUAGAGACGUACUCAGAGCCAGUGGUUACGGAAUCGCUAAUGACUUAACCAAACAUCUGAAGAAUAACAAUAUCUUUCAGAUUAUCCAGAAUGAAGAUAACUCUAUAGAUGACUCACCCCUAUACUCGAUGACAUAGACAGACAGGUGCUAGACUGCAAUAUUACAGACAGUGAAAUUCUGAAUGUCAUUAAUAGUCUUAAAUGUGGUAAAUCACCUGGUCUCGAUCUGGUUCUUGUGGAAAUGUUCAAAUGUUGAAGUUCUGAAAUUCUGCCAUUUCUUAGUAAAUGUUUUAACAAAAUAUUCAAUGAUGGCUACUUUCCAGAAGUCUGGUCAAGUUCAAUUAUUGUCCCAGUUCAUAAAAAGGAGAUGUAAACAACCCAGUGAGUGAGUGAGUUUAGUUUUACGCCGCACUCAGCAAUAUUCCAGCUAUAUGGCGGCGGUCUG